Molecule: unclassified non-coding RNA, 117 nt
Organism: Macaca fascicularis (crab-eating macaque)
Lineage: Eukaryota; Metazoa; Chordata; Mammalia; Primates; Cercopithecidae
Rfam family: Metazoan signal recognition particle RNA
About the family: The signal recognition particle (SRP) is a universally conserved ribonucleoprotein. It is involved in the co-translational targeting of proteins to membranes.
Source: Ensembl
GCUGGGCGUGAUGGCUCACGCCUGUAAUCCCAGCACUUUGGGAAGCUGAGGCAGGUGUAUCACCUGGGGUCAGGAGUUCGAGACCAGCCUGGCCAACAUGGUGACAGCCUGUCUCUA